CGCACGGAGCUCCAAUCUGUGAGCGGUGCGGUGAAGAAUGGAGCAGCUGAUCACUGGUCAAUAGCGUUGGAGCUUGUGUUUAGCCCAAAGACGCAGAUACUAAAGUUUGCUCAGACUUUGUGUGACAGAGGAGAGAGGAUGUGUUUCUGCUGAUUAACAAAGAGAGCAGCCGCUGCCGCGAUCCCUGAGCUGCGGUGUGUUGACUCGCCCCACUGGCGUAAGUGCGUGCCGUGGAGAACUGCAGGAAUACACGCCUCAGUGGCGAUGCGCGUGCACGCCCCACAGUCCCCAUGGUUUCUCCACAAAAUAAAACCAAACGGGCUUAGGUAUUGAAUUAAAAAAAGUAACAAAAACAGAAGUUGUUGAUUUUGUUUGAUUUCUUAAUCUUUAAACAUUUUCUAUGUGUUUUACAACGGCAAAAGGAAAUAAGCACGCUCCGCUUAAAACAUCCCCCGCCUUAUAUAUAGUGCCUCUAAGUGCAAGAAAUAAUGUAUACUGGCUGAUACACCUACAAAAUGAUACGUCUUCACUACAAUGGAAACAAUCAGGUCAAGGUCGUACACCAAAAAAGGCAGAUCUACAUUAUGCACAGGUGGCGUUGGUGCAAUAUGCAUGAAAUCCUUCAGGUAGUUUCUGACAUAUGCUCCAGAAACGGAAUCAAAAACAUAUUUGAUGUGCCUCACUAUGACCUUGAAAAUCAGGUCAAGGUCAUACACCCCAAAAGGCACAUCUAUACUACAUAGAGAUGGCCUGGGUGCAAUAUGAAUGAAAUCCCUCAAGUAGUUUCUGAGAUAUGCUCCAGAAACGAAAUGCGGAUGGACGGACGGAUGGACGUGCCCAUGUCAAAAUCCCCCUUCGUGCCUACGGCCGGCGGGGGAUUAAAAGGAAACAGCUAUUUAGUUUGCUGGAUUUUAUUUUGAAAGGAAAAAAAAUCAAAGAUCAAUCCAUACGGAUUUGUCCCAUUAUUCUCCUCAGAACAUCUGUUUAGUUAAUUAUGCACAAACUGAAUGUAGCUUAGGUGACAUGAACUUUUUUUAUUUGAGGACAUAUAGGAUGUUUGUAAUAAUGAGUUAAAUAGCUCUCAGCAGAUUUUCUGACCUUAUGCAUCUGAAUGAUGUCUAGCCACAAACAAAGUCUCCAAUCUUAAGCAAAUAUUAGUAAGAACAGAACGAACGUAUGGGUUGUGUGAAAUGAAUAAUGGAUAGAUAGUUAAAUAAGAAUGUUCUUAGCCUGCUUUUCACCGUUUUUUCUUCCCAAAAUAUAGAUAAAAAAUAGAAACAUUUAAAUUGAAAGCCAACUGAACAAAUUAUACAGUGAAUACAUUUUUUCCCCUUACCAAAAACAAACAAAAUGUGUGUCAGUUCAAAUUGAAAAUCAAAUGAUUUAAACUAAUCACACAGAUUAUUGCGUUGUAUCAAAUGAGCAGUUACUAACGUGUAUGUGUGGUUAUGUGCUACAGAGGGCUUCUUAAUCACAUCUGUGUGAGAAAUGGGCUGACUCCAGAGGAAAAGGCCAGAGUAGAAGUUCUUCAGCAUGAGCAGUCCGUUGCCACCAGGGGCCUGUUUCACGAAGCAGGUUUUACAAACUCUGAGUUUCUUCCACAACUCUGAGUUGAUCUGCUCUGAGAUAGAAAACUCUGAGUUUUCGGUUUCACAACGGCUGAUUUGAGUUGAGUUAAUCAACUCGGAGUAGUUUGACCCGGAGUUACGCGCGUGCACCGCAACUCUGAAAAGACAGCAUCAAUGGAACCCCGAUUCGACGAGUCACCAUGGAAACGGGGAAGUGAAAGGCUGCGUUUUUGAACGGGAAGUUUUUAACGCGCUCAUCUGGCGAGUUUGAACACGUUUUUAGAAAGAAGUGCAACACCGCUGCAGCUGUAAAAGAGAGAGAGACGGCGUGGAGAACAGCCCGGAUCAAUGCAGCAUGGCUGGACAGCAGCAGGAUGGUUCCUCAGCUUCCACUGCACAGACUGACACAGAUGGAUGUUCAGGAAACACCAGAGCUUCAUUCUGUGGAAUUCAUGUGCAACUGUAUAACUGAAUGUCCUCUAUGUAUUCCCAGUUAUCAGUAAAACAGAUUUACAAACUGCAUUUGCUGAGAAAAAUCCAAAAACAGAUUAGGAGGGCAGAUCUGGAAAUUGAAAUACUGGAGCACAAGUUAGAGGUGGUGAUGGUCACAGGUGAAUUAUGUUAACUACUGGAACAUGAACUGAACUAUCUGUUUAUUUGUAGGAAAUAAAGAAGAGCAAAUGAAA
Long non-coding RNA from Acanthochromis polyacanthus (spiny chromis), 2254 nucleotides. RefSeq lists it as uncharacterized. NCBI's taxonomy places the organism in Eukaryota, Metazoa, Chordata, Actinopteri, Pomacentridae. The record is from RefSeq and is a predicted model, not a curated record. The transcript has 2 exons.